UAAAAAUAAGGUUUUUCAAGAUGAUCUGUUUUUGUCUCCAAACGUGUCGUUUCUGCUUUCAUGUUUUUAAAUGCAAUUUAAUGUGGAAAAAAUGCUUAGUCGUGUCUUCUCACUCGGACAAAACCCAAAGUAAUUUUAUAUAGGUUUUUAAACUCUGCUUUAAGGCCAUUUUCCACUUCAAGCUGUAUGUGAUACGAGUACGCGCUGAUAAUUUGUGUUCAUAUCCAGAAACUGUAUGACGCUGUGUUGAUGGGACUAUAUAAGAUAGUCUGGAGUGCCGUUCAUCAGAAAUAAAAAUAUGUUUAAAUGUGUGAGCAAAGCCAUUAUUCGUCUCGUUUGCUUAAUGUAGAAUAACUAAACAAUACUUGACUUUAGUUGCUAUAUCGCGACAAAAGUAUGUUGUGUGGUUGUUUUGAAGAAUUCAAAUAAAGUUGUGAAUUAAAAU
Molecule: non-coding RNA, 445 nt
Organism: Paramuricea clavata
Lineage: Eukaryota; Metazoa; Cnidaria; Anthozoa; Malacalcyonacea; Plexauridae
Source: the annotation of a GenBank genome assembly